GAUGAAGAACGCAGCGAAAUGCGAUACUUGGUGUGAAUUGCAGAAUCCCGUGAACCAUCGAGUCUUUGAACGCAAGUUGCGCCCGAAGCCACUAGGCCGAGGGCACGCCUGCCUGGGCGUCACACGCCGUUGCCCCCCCAUCUACUCCUUCGGGAUUGCGGGGGGGCGGAUGAUGGCCUCCCGUGCGCCUAGCCGCGCGGUUGGCAUAAAUACCAAGUCCUCGGCGACGCACGCCACGACAAUCGGUGGUUGCGAAACCUCGGUUGCCCGUCGUGUGCGUUCGUCGCGCAUCGAGGGCUCGAAAAAAUGCUCGGCUCCGGCUGGGCUUUCAACGCGACCCCAGGUCAGGCGGGGUUACCCGCUGAAUUUAAGCAUAUCAAAUAAGCGGAGGA
RNAcentral lists this unclassified non-coding RNA (392 nucleotides) under soil metagenome. RNAcentral describes it as "partial contains 5.8S ribosomal RNA, internal transcribed spacer 2, and large subunit ribosomal RNA". The stretch from base 1 to 122 matches the Rfam family "5.8S ribosomal RNA", at positions 35 to 154 of the family's 154-position model. The record is from RNAcentral.